CAGUAGCCACGGUAAUACAGAGGGUGCGAGCGUUAAUCGGAUUUACUGGGCGUAAAGCGUGCGUAGGCGGCUUCUUAAGUCGGAUGUGAAAUCCCUGAGCUUAACCUAGGAAUUGCAUUCGAUACUGGGAAGCUAGAGUAUGGGAGAGGAUGGUAGAAUUCCAGGUGUAGCGGUGAAAUGCGUAGAGAUCUGGAGGAAUACCGAUGGCGAAGGCAGCCAUCUGGCCUAAUACUGACGCUGAGGUACGAAAGCAUGGGGAGCAAACAGGAUUAGAUACCCCCGUAGUCCCUGUCUCUUAUAC
Molecule: ribosomal RNA, 301 nt
Filed under: uncultured bacterium
Lineage: Bacteria
Description: partial 16S ribosomal RNA
Rfam family: Bacterial small subunit ribosomal RNA
Source: RNAcentral